This is a long non-coding RNA of Cyprinus carpio (common carp), 941 nucleotides long. RefSeq lists it as uncharacterized. The transcript is spliced from 3 exons. Lineage: Eukaryota; Metazoa; Chordata; Actinopteri; Cypriniformes; Cyprinidae. The record is from RefSeq and is a predicted model, not a curated record.
GAAGGAUGAAAAACAUAAGCGAUUCAAUGGAGUCUCAGAUGAAUCAUGACAGACGUAAAGCUUGUGAUGCGACUGAACCUGUGUAUGAGAAUGUAAAGCUUGACAGGAAGAGGCUGUAGAAGCUCACCAUUGUGAGGUUGAUGGUUUUACAGAAUAAUGUUUGGUAUCUCAAAAGUCCUUUAAUGCAGCCUAAAUCUCCUGUUUGAAUGUUAGAUUCCUGUUCAUUAUAAAGACAUUUAUGCAUUGACAUACAGUACAUGCACAGCUUCUUUAAAAUGAUUGUGAUAUGCCAUACAAAUAAAACUGUCUUGAACUGAAAUUUACAUACAAAACACAUUUGCAUAGAAACUGGAAGUUAUUAUAAUCACUUUAGUAUUUUUGUUUCAUUUAAUGAUGUUUUUUUUAAUGUGUGCAUUUUUUGUUAAACAUCUGCAGCUCCAUGUUAGAUAAAUGCUUUAUUUGUAAACCAAAGCCACUAAACAAGCAAACGCAGUGUGGUCCAUGUAGUGUGAGGUAUCUGUGAUCUCUCUCUCUCUCUCUCUCUCUCUCUCUCUCUCUCUCUGUAUAAUGUCAUUUUAAGGUUUUACCAUUUUGCUUCUCAUUCAAGUUACAGCUUAAAUGUAAUUUUGAAAAGUAAAAUUCAUAGGCUUUUAUUUAUGUGUAUCUAAAUCAACACCAGAGCACUGCAGGAACAUGAAGACAUGUCAGACAUGGUUAGAGUCAUGACACCUGCUUAGCUGCAGAAUGCAUGGUCAUUUCUCCUGUGCUAAUAAAAAGGUACAAACACUUCAGUGAUUUCAGAGUCAUCCCUUGAAUUUAAUACUGGACAGUAAAUAUCACAUACUUCUCACCCGUUUAGUAAUUUGCUAAAAAUAUAUGUGAAAAAUAAACCUACCAUAAUAAUACUAAAACUAAAGAGUGUGACAACUAACUCCAUUCUC